UGCAGGGUCAUGGUGGCCGUGGUGGUUGAUGCUGAUGAAAGAGAGAAAAAGCGGAAACCCAACAGAAUCAAAACAAGCAUAGAAUUUAAGAUUCCAAGCUUGUUUGAACCUGCAAAUCUUGGGAUCUCCUAUCAGCGCCGCAACCCCCAAGUUGGCCUGGAUUCGCCUCCCAAAAGAUUAUACAAGCAUAUUAUCUGUGGGC
This 202-nucleotide unclassified non-coding RNA is filed under the name Hevea brasiliensis (rubber tree). Lineage: Eukaryota; Viridiplantae; Streptophyta; Magnoliopsida; Malpighiales; Euphorbiaceae. The record is from RNAcentral.